Molecule: ribosomal RNA, 449 nt
Filed under: uncultured bacterium
Lineage: Bacteria
Description: partial 16S ribosomal RNA
Rfam family: Bacterial small subunit ribosomal RNA
Source: RNAcentral
CCUACGGGCGGCUGCAGUGGGGAAUAUUGCACAAUGGAGGAAACUCUGAUGCAGCGACGCCGCGUGGGUGAUGAAGGCCUUCGGGUUGUAACGCCCUGUCGGCUGGGAACAAGGUAGACGUGCUCAUACCACGUUUGCUUGAGGGUACCAGCAAAGGAAGCACCGGCUAACCCUGUGCCAGCAGCCGCGGUAAUACGUGGGGUGCUAGCGUUGUUCGGAAUUACUGGGCGUAAAGGGCAAGUAGGCGGUGAAAUCCCGGAGCUUAACUUCGGAAUUGCUUUUGAGACUGCAAGGCUAGAGUGUGUUAGAGGAUGGCGGAAUUCCUAGUGUAGAGGUGAAAUUCGUAGAUAUGAGGAAGAACACCGGUGGCGAAGGCGGCCAUCUGGGACACAACUGACGCUGAGGCGCGAAAGCGUGGGGAUCAAACAGGAUUAGAUACCCUGGUAGUC